GGGAAUGUAGCUCAGUUGGUAGAGUGCUUGCCUAGCACACAAGAAGCCUNGGGUUCAAUCCCCUGCACCA
Transfer RNA from Neotoma lepida (desert woodrat), 70 nucleotides. It matches the Rfam family "tRNA". Rfam says of the family: Transfer RNA (tRNA) molecules are approximately 80 nucleotides in length. Their secondary structure includes four short double-helical elements and three loops (D, anti-codon, and T loops). The record is from Rfam. NCBI's taxonomy places the organism in Eukaryota, Metazoa, Chordata, Mammalia, Rodentia, Cricetidae.